GAUGAACGCUGGCGGCGUGCCUAAUACAUGCAAGUCGAGCGAACGGACGAGAAGCUUGCUUCUCUGAUGUUAGCGGCGGACGGGUGAGUAACACGUGGAUAACCUACCUAUAAGACUGGGAUAACUUCGGGAAACCGUAGCUAAUACCGGAUAAUAUUUUGAACCGCAUGGUUCAAAAGUGAAAGACAGUCUUGCUGUCACUUAUAGAUGGAUCCGCGCUGCAUUAGCUAGUUGGUAAGGUAACGGCUUACCAAGGCAACGAUGCAUAGCCGACCUGAGAGGGUGAUCGGCCACACUGGAACUGAGACACGGUCCAGACUCCUACGGGAGGCAGCAGUAGGGAAUCUUCCGCAAUGGGCGAAAGCCUGACGGAGCAACGCCGCGUGAGUGAUGAAGGUCUUCGGAUCGUAAAACUCUGUUAUUAGGGAAGAACAUAUGUGUAAGUAACUGUGCACAUCUUGACGGUACCUAAUCAGAAAGCCACGGCUAACUACGUG
Molecule: ribosomal RNA, 497 nt
Filed under: uncultured bacterium
Lineage: Bacteria
Description: partial 16S ribosomal RNA
Rfam family: Bacterial small subunit ribosomal RNA
Source: RNAcentral